This 30-nucleotide non-coding RNA is filed under the name Mus musculus (house mouse). The record is from RNAcentral. Lineage: Eukaryota; Metazoa; Chordata; Mammalia; Rodentia; Muridae.
UGAAAUGCACUGUUGAAUGUGGUGGCUGGG